This 207-nucleotide ribosomal RNA is filed under the name Staphylococcus aureus. RNAcentral describes it as "partial 23S ribosomal RNA". It matches the Rfam family "Bacterial large subunit ribosomal RNA", at positions 12 to 216 of the family's 2925-position model. The record is from RNAcentral. Lineage: Bacteria; Bacillati; Bacillota; Bacilli; Caryophanales; Staphylococcaceae.
UAAGGGCGCACGGUGGAUGCCUUGGCACUAGAAGCCGAUGAAGGACGUUACUAACGACGAUAUGCUUUGGGGAGCUGUAAGUAAGCUUUGAUCCAGAGAUUUCCGAAUGGGGAAACCCAGCAUGAGUUAUGUCAUGUUAUCGAUAUGUGAAUACAUAGCAUAUCAGAAGGCACACCCGGAGAACUGAAACAUCUUAGUACCCGGAGG